Molecule: microRNA precursor, 77 nt
Filed under: Chlorocebus sabaeus (green monkey)
Lineage: Eukaryota; Metazoa; Chordata; Mammalia; Primates; Cercopithecidae
Description: miRNA (ENSCSAG00000021681.1)
Source: RNAcentral
AGUUUUUGGAAGAGAUAUUGCCACCCUUUCUAGUCCCUAUUAGUCUAGGAAGGAUGGCAAUACCUCUUCCAAAAUCU